CCAGAGCCGGCCUUAGGGCGAAGCGAACGAAGCGACCGCUUCAGGCCCACAGCUGGAGGGGGCCCACUGCGCCCAAGUGAAAUUCGCAUGUUUGCCAAUUUAGUUGCUAGCAACUCAACGGCCAUGCAAGAACUGGAAUAUCUGUAUGAGAAGGAGUUAGCAACUGCCAUGCCUAAUGUUGCUGUGGCUCUCAGAACAGCAUUGACUGUGCCUAUAACAGUAUCUUCGGCGGAGAGGAGUUUUUCAAAACUCAAGCUUAUCAAACAUUACUUGCGAAGCUCCAUGAGCUACGAACGUCUGAAUAGUCUGGCAUUGAUUUCAGUUGAGCAAGAGAUAGUCGAAUCUCUUGAUUAUUCUGAACUUAUUCAUGAAUUUACCAGUGCCAAGGUUCGAAAAGUGUCUUUUGUGUGAAAUAGAUUUCAAUAUCUGCUGGUAAGUUAUUUUAUACGGAAAUCUGAAUAUCUCGAAAGUAUGAAAACAAGCUUUAAAACCGAAUAAAAAUGUAAAAACAAAAUAAUGUGGAUCUCA
This is a long non-coding RNA of Erpetoichthys calabaricus (reedfish), 528 nucleotides long. RefSeq lists it as uncharacterized. The record is from RefSeq and is a predicted model, not a curated record. The transcript has 2 exons. Lineage: Eukaryota; Metazoa; Chordata; Cladistia; Polypteriformes; Polypteridae.